CACAAAAAAUAUGCAGGCUGUACGCCGCUGUGCCCCUCGGGGGCUAGUGGCAAAGGCUGAAAUAUUUUUCACCCAUGUCUUUUGCGCACUUGUUGUUUCCUGGGCGGGCUCGCCCGCCACCAGGACCACACCUUAAACCUUUUUUUAUGCAGUUGCAAUCAGCGUCAGUAUAACAAAUGUAAAAUCAUUUAC
This 192-nucleotide unclassified non-coding RNA is filed under the name soil metagenome. Its description in RNAcentral is "partial internal transcribed spacer 1". The record is from RNAcentral.